UACAGAGGUCUCAAGCGUUGUUCGGAUUCAUUGGGCGUAAAGGGUGCGUAGGCGGCGCGGUAAGUCGGGUGUGAAAUCUCGGAGCUUAACUCCGAAACUGCAUUCGAUACUGCCGUGCUUGAGGACUGGAGAGGAGACUGGAAUUUACGGUGUAGCGGUGAAAUGCGUAGAUAUCAGGAGGAACACCGAUGGCGAAGGCAGCUCGCUGGGACGGUACUGACGCUGAGGCGCGAAAGCGUGGGGAGCAAACAGG
This 253-nucleotide ribosomal RNA is filed under the name uncultured bacterium. RNAcentral's name for it is "partial 16S ribosomal RNA". It matches the Rfam family "Bacterial small subunit ribosomal RNA", at positions 524 to 776 of the family's 1533-position model. The record is from RNAcentral.